UACGAAGGGGGCUAGCGUUGCUCGGAAUCACUGGGCGUAAAGGGCGCGUAGGCGGUUGAUUAAGUCGAAUGUGAAAGCCCCCGGCUCAACUGGGGAGGGUCAUUCGAUACUGAUCAACUUGAAGGCAGGAGAGGGAAGUGGAAUUCCGGGUGUAGUGGUGAAAUGCGUAGAUAUCCGGAGGAACACCAGUGGCGAAGGCGACUUCCUGGCCUGUUCUUGACGCUGAGGCGCGAAAGCUGGGGGAGCAAACGGG
RNAcentral lists this ribosomal RNA (253 nucleotides) under uncultured bacterium. RNAcentral describes it as "partial 16S ribosomal RNA". It matches the Rfam family "Bacterial small subunit ribosomal RNA", at positions 524 to 776 of the family's 1533-position model. The record is from RNAcentral.